Molecule: ribosomal RNA, 225 nt
Filed under: uncultured Lactobacillus sp.
Lineage: Bacteria; Bacillati; Bacillota; Bacilli; Lactobacillales; Lactobacillaceae
Description: partial 16S ribosomal RNA
Rfam family: Bacterial small subunit ribosomal RNA
Source: RNAcentral
UCGGGAGUAACACCUGGAAACAGAUGCUAAUACCGGAUAACAACAGAUGAUGCCUAUCAACUGUUUAAAAGAUGGUUCUGCUAUCACUCUUGGAUGGACCUGCGGUGCAUUAGCUAGUUGGUAGGGUAACGGCCUACCAAGGCGAUGAUGCAUAGCCGAGUUGAGAGACUGAUCGGCCACAUUGGGACUGAGACACGGCCCAAACUCCUACGGGAGGCAGCAGAG